Molecule: long non-coding RNA, 291 nt
Organism: Lemur catta (Ring-tailed lemur)
Lineage: Eukaryota; Metazoa; Chordata; Mammalia; Primates; Lemuridae
Exons: 3
Source: RefSeq, a predicted model, not a curated record
GGGGAAGGUGACGGCCGCAGGGCAGUUUGCUCCGUUUUGCUGACUCACAUGAAUCAAAGAAGAUACAUUUUAAAUUUGGGUUGAAUGAGAAGAGCAAUAGCAAGUAUAAAAGCACAAUUCUAGGUUAAGAAGCCACAAGGAUAAAGAUCUUCACCCUCCUGCCCCAUGCCUUAUGAAUUUGUAGAGACAAGAGGAAGAUUUUACAAUUUCAAAAUCCACAAACUUGUUUGGAGAUGAAGUGAUGGAGAAAGAGACUAAAGAUGUGCCCAAGACAAGUACAGCAAGUGAGAA